CAACGUAGUUCUGUUGGAAAUGGCUUCAGGCUUUAAGGCCUUAGCCCUUUUAAAAAUCUGUGUAUAUGAUUUAUGUAUAUUCGGGUAUAUACACCGUAUACGAUCCAUUUUUUUACUUUCCAAGCCUGUAUUUUCGCUGCACCUUGUGACCUGUAUUUAGUGCUUGUGUUUCAAAUUUUUUGCACCUGUAUUUCAUAUAUUCCGAUCAUAUAUUGGUGUAUACAUCCUGUACAUCAACCUGUUCUUGGCCUACCGGGGCUGAAAAAUUAAUUUUCAGCAAACAAGUUGUUGCUUUUCGACCUGUACGCAAUUUUUAGAGGCUGACUAACUUAGAGGGGAUAGUUUGAGCCUCUUUGUCUCAAUAUGAGAUGCACAG
RNAcentral lists this unclassified non-coding RNA (376 nucleotides) under Hevea brasiliensis (rubber tree). Lineage: Eukaryota; Viridiplantae; Streptophyta; Magnoliopsida; Malpighiales; Euphorbiaceae. The record is from RNAcentral.